Molecule: long non-coding RNA, 1983 nt
Organism: Mirounga angustirostris (Northern elephant seal)
Lineage: Eukaryota; Metazoa; Chordata; Mammalia; Carnivora; Phocidae
Exons: 3
Source: RefSeq, a predicted model, not a curated record
GGGCAAGUAAGGCAGCUGCCCAGGAAGAGGGGGAUCCCUAGCGCACGCCCUCAGGGGCCUCUAACCUGGCGGGAAGGUGCUCGGCCGAGGAGCUGGCUCCACCAAGAGGCGGGCGCGCGCACCGCACCGUGACCUUGGGGAGGCUCCCCCGCCGCCCGAGCACCCUGUGCCAUCAGGAUGCCCUCUAGCCAGGGCCACAUCCCUGGAAACCAGGGGCGAAGGAAGAACAGCUGGAUGACCAGCUUCGCCGGGAGACCGGACCACAGGGCCAGAAGUCUCAGCAGCGGCCGGCCUGCUUCCCCCAACAGGCGGCCAACAGUGACCGAGGAGUUUCAGUUCUCCUGCCCCCAGAGCAGCCCCGUCCCAGCUGCUCCCAAGGGAACAGAGGUUGACUUCCGUGGACGGUCUGUCCUCCCUGCCUGAAAGGUCCCCCGGAGAGGGGGACACCGCACCCCGGCCCAGGCUCUGAACCCCGUGCCCGCUGCCCGCUGCCCACUGACCCCUCCUCACCGGGGGCCCAGCCCACCCUGCCUCCGGGGAGAUGUCACCAGUGGCCCCAGGCCGGCGUGCUGUGGCUUCUGAGAAGGAACCGCCCCGGCCAGCAGCUGGACCAGAGCCAAGCUCGGACCACUCACAGCGUGGCCGCGACCUGCCGAGAGGCGGGGCCCACAGGGGGUGGGACAGGCAGAACUGAGGAAGCAGCGGGCCCCGUGGUGACAGUGACCCCCUGUGCUAAUGCCAGAGGCAGGCCGUGUGCCUUCUCAACUCGCCCAUCGCGAGGAACUCGGGGCCCCGGGAGCCAGUGCCAGCCCCAUGUCAUGGCACCGAGAGGCUCUGAGGGGCAAAGCAAGUAGAGUCCAGAGCCCGGCUGCCAGGUGGCCAUGGGGCCUGGGCAAGCAGCGACUCCCCCCGGACAGUGCCUCCUAACGGUCACGGGGGUAAGGACACUGUUGGCCUGGCUGAGAUUUGGGGGCUUUUGGGAGAACCGCACACCACGGGGCCAGGAGCACUUGUGGAGGCCAGAAUGCCGACGCCGUGGUUCUUACUGCCUGUGGGCCCCCUCUCACUGUGGGAGCCUCCCCUGUACCCCCAUCACACCCGGGACGGCGGCACAGCCUUCUGCCUACUGCCCUGACCCGGGGCCCUACUUGUCUCCUGGUCACAGGGCAGGGACCCCCUCCAACGCUAGAUCCUUUCCCCCUGCCCCCCCACCCCCCGCUUCCCUGCUGUGGCUUCUGUCGCCGCAUUCCCGGCCUUCCCCCCGUGUCUCCCUAAAUUCCACCUCCCUCCCUGCCCUCAGCACCGGGGCCCCCAAAGUUCUUCCCGGUUCCUCUUGGCCCCAUCCUGCAAUCCGUCCACCAUCUCAGCAUCCUGGCCCCAGGGAGCUGCCUCUCCAGCCUUCCCACCUCUGACGGGUCUCAGGCCACCUCACCAGCUCAGGGGCCGGGCACUGCCACGCUGGAUGGCCCGCUGCAUUUCAACGCGACAUGGCUGGGCACAGCUCAGCAUCAACCUGGUCCCCAACUCCAGGAGAGCUGAAGGAGUGCCAUCCUCCCCAGCAGCCAGGGCAAAAGCCCAGACGACUCCAGAUGCUCCCCCUGCUGUUCCCCAGUCCCUGCUCCCGCCCCCCUCACCUCUUCACCUCUGCGGUGACUUGGGAGUGAGGCCAACACAGGCUCCAGCCCGUGCUUGCAUGCAAAUUGCACAAGUCAUGGUACCUCACAGGGUUACGGUGAAGGCUUAAUGAAAUCCAGCUGGCCCUCGAACAAUGCAGGAGUUAGGGGCACCGACCCCCACAUAGCCACAAACCACAGGCAACUUUCAGCUCCCCCAAACUUAACUACUCAUGGCCUCCUGUUGACCGGAAGCCAUCCCCGUAACAUCAACAGCCAAUUUACACAUAUUUUGUGUGUUAUACGUAGUACCUACCGUGUUCUUACAGCAAAGUAAGCUAGAGAAUGUUAUUAAAAAAUUCAUAAAGAA